UACGAAGGUGGCAAGCGUUGUUCGGAAUCACUGGGCAUAAAGCGCGCGUAGGCGGCCUCGCAAGUCGGAUGUGAAAUCCCUCAGCUCAACUGAGGAACUGCGUCCGAUACUGCCUGGCUUGAGGCCUGGAGGGGAGAGCGGAAUUCCUGGUGGAGCGGUGAAAUGCGUAGAGAUCAGGAGGAACGCCGGCGGCGAAAGCGGCUCUCUGGACAGGUUCUGACGCUGAGGCGCGAAAGCUAGGGGAGCAAACGGG
This 253-nucleotide unclassified non-coding RNA is filed under the name uncultured Planctomycetota bacterium. RNAcentral's name for it is "uncultured planctomycete contains 16S-23S intergenic spacer region". It matches the Rfam family "Bacterial small subunit ribosomal RNA", at positions 524 to 776 of the family's 1533-position model. The record is from RNAcentral. Lineage: Bacteria; Pseudomonadati; Planctomycetota.